AGCGUAGCAUAGGCAAAUCAAAAUGCCAAAAUAUCUAAAAAUCCUCCGGGAAUUGUGAAUUUUCUGUUGUACGAUGUGUUCGUAAAUUCCAGCGAUUGUUUGAUGUUAUGUGUCAAAGUUUACAUUAUUUAAAGUGUUCCGCUGAAUUUCCAUUCACUCAAACUAACCUGUGAGUCUGUUUCCUAAGAUGAGUAAACAACUGAAAUUGCAUCUUCUUCGUUGAACUAAGUAAUAAGAAUACUAUUAACACAUACCAGCCGUCCUAUAUGAUAUAUAAAGUAUGGAUCAUUCUUGACAACGCCUCCGUUUAGCGGGGACUUUUUUAGGAUGUCCCGUCUAACUCAGUUUUACACCGUGGAGGUGGGGGACACUAAAUUCACCAUAUUGAAACGCUAUCAGAAUUUGAAACCCAUUGGUUCAGGAGCUCAAGGAAUCGUUUGUGCUGCUGUGGAUACAGUGACUAAUCAAAAUGUAGCCAUCAAAAAACUGAGCAGGCCAUUCCAGAAUGUGACGCAUGCCAAAAGGGCGUAUCGAGAGUUUAAGUUAAUGAAAUUAGUUAAUCAUAAGAACAUAAUUGGUUUGUACAAUGCUUUCACACCGCAGAGGUCACUGGAAGAAUUCCAGGAUGUUUAUCUAGUGAUGGAAUUAAUGGAUGCCAACUUAUGUCAGGUGAUACAAAUGGAUUUAGACCAUGAACGAAUGAGCUAUCUUCUCUAUCAGAUGCUCUGUGGAAUAAAACAUUUGCAUUCGGCCGGGAUUAUACAUAGGGAUUUAAAACCGAGCAAUAUUGUAGUUAAAUCAGAUUGUACAUUAAAGAUAUUAGACUUUGGACUUGCAAGAACAGCCGGGACUACUUUCAUGAUGACACCGUACGUAGUGACAAGAUAUUAUAGGGCCCCUGAGGUGAUCUUAGGUAUGGGAUAUACAGAAAAUGUGGAUAUAUGGUCAGUGGGGUGUAUAAUGGGAGAAAUGAUCAGGGGUGGCGUCCUUUUCCCCGGAACAGAUCACAUAGAUCAAUGGAAUAAGAUAAUUGAACAACUGGGUACUCCAUCACCGCAAUUCAUGAUGAGACUGCAGCUAACCGUGCGGAAUUACGUAGAAAACAGGCCACGUUACCCCGGUUUCUCCUUCGAUAAACUCUUUCCUGAUGUUUUAUUCCCAUCGGACAGUAAUGAACAUAACCGACUUAAGGCGAGCCAAGCCAGAGAUUUACUUUCUAAAAUGCUAGUUAUCGACCCGGAAAAGAGGAUUUCAGUGGACGAUGCUCUGCUCCAUCCUUACAUAAAUGUCUGGUAUGACGAACAGGAAGUUAAUGCUCCUGCUCCUGGCCCUUACGAUCACAGCGUUGACGAAAGGGAGCACACAGUUGAACAGUGGAAAGAGCUGAUUUAUCAGGAAGUUAUGGAGUAUGAGAACUCUCAUGGUCGAGCCUCCAGCUCACAACCCAGUCCUGCCACUAACUCGGAGCCAAACGGUACUGCCGAAUCAAUGCGGUAGGAAAGAUUGGAUAAUCAUUGGCACAAGUAGCAUUUCCAACUAGUCAAAACAUAAUUAUAAUAACCCUCCAAAAUAAUUGAGGAUAUUUUAAUCACAGUAUGAGAAUCGUUUGUAUUUUUCCCAAUUCUCAUUUUAGAAAACUGAUGCAACCUAAUCAGUAUGUGUGAUAUAGGCGGUACCUAAAUACUAGUUUGUAUUUUGAUUGUACCUAACCUAACAUUAUGGAAAUUCUGAUGAAAUCUGAAAAUUUUCGCAUUUUCCUUGCUAGUAACUAUCGCGUUUAAUGUUGGUAAUUAAAUGGAUACUCAUGCUGAAGCAAUAAAAACUUAUUAUAGCUACCUUAGUUUUUAAAGACGUCGAAUAUUUUUUUUAAAUAAUGAAUAAAGUUUCAUUAUGACUAAUCAAAAAUGUUAUACAACGGAAAGUCAUGUUUUCCUCCUACGCAAUCAAGCAAUCAAAAUAAUAACUAUUCCACGUAAAUUUUAUUAUGUCUCAUGAUCAUCAUGGAUAUGAAACUGGAAUAUCUCUAUAGAUUUCCAAAUUUUUAUCUCAUAAAAAGUGUGUUUCAUAAUAAUUUAGAGUUCUAUAGCUCAAUCGGUAAAGAAAUAUCAGAGAAGCUGAGAUGUUCUAGCAUAGAAAAAUGGAAAUUUUUGGAGACAAUCAUAUUUUUAUACCGAAAUUAUUUCAACAAAAAAUACAAAUUAGUAAUUAUAAGCAUAAUGUAAUAUUACAUGUAAGUUUUGAACUGUUUUUAUAUUUAUUUGACAACGCAAUAUUUUUGAGUAUAUUGUUCACUCACUUUUUUUUUAUUGUUGAUUUGGAUAAUUUUAUUUGAAAUAUAUUUUCUAAUGGUUAGAAAAAUUACACCUUAGUACUUAGCGAUAUAGUAUGAAAUUGUAAGUAGUGGUAAAAAGUUUGGAAUUAACUACAUUUUUGCAACUAUAGUGUCGACUCGUACUGUACUGAAUAUUAAAUGAUCUAAUGAAUAAGUUUAUGUACUGUAAAAAAUAAAAAAAAAUCAUCCGAUCCAAAUUAGAUUCUUCAGUGAAUAUUGUGAGAAGUAGAAGCUAUUGGUUGUUUGAGUUUUGGUAUGGUGAAGAAAUUCCAAUUUUCUCUUUUUCCUACUUGUCAGACUGAAAAUCUUCAGGGUGAGAACUGGUAGAGAUGGUUGCUAGGAAUUUGUUUAGAUCGAGAUGAAUGAAUGUUUUAAGAUCGCAUGUAGCAUUCUCAAUGAUAUUUUGAAUUUUUUCAGGAACAAAUAUUAUUGAUAGACUAGUUAAGAUAUACAACUCAGUUGUAAAUUUGUAGACUUUUAGAUAAGGAUUCGUCAAGCUCUGGGUAUCUUACACUUUACAAAUAUCAUAUUAGUUAUUAAUAACAGUGUACCUAUGUAUUACUUGUAUUGUUCCGCUUUGUAAAUAAAGUCAAACUCAAUUA
RNA transcript from Coccinella septempunctata (seven-spotted ladybird), 2934 nucleotides. It is a transcript of the gene named stress-activated protein kinase JNK, with no coding region annotated. The record is from RefSeq and is a predicted model, not a curated record. Lineage: Eukaryota; Metazoa; Arthropoda; Insecta; Coleoptera; Coccinellidae. The transcript is spliced from 11 exons.